GAGACCUCAGUCAGGCGGGGCUACCCGCUGAGUUUAAGCAUAUCAAUAAGCGGAGGAAAAG
Molecule: ribosomal RNA, 61 nt
Filed under: Lespedeza jiangxiensis
Lineage: Eukaryota; Viridiplantae; Streptophyta; Magnoliopsida; Fabales; Fabaceae
Description: partial 26S ribosomal RNA
Rfam family: Eukaryotic large subunit ribosomal RNA
Source: RNAcentral